UGGGCAAAGUGUGUCAUCAUAGCCACUAUGUUUUCUGCACUUGGAGUAGACAGCACCUUGAUAGCUCAGUUGGUAGAGCAGAGGACUGUAGGCAGUUCCUCCUAUGAAGUGCUCUCGUUCCAACGUCGCUGGUUCAACUCCCGCUCAAAGCAAGCCUUGUCUUCAUCUGUCAGCUCCUCCAAAAUUUAAAAACACAAACAAGAUAACUCCUACUUUAUUUUCCAACCGUCAAUUUUUUGUUCACCCAGCCUAAAAGUCCUGAUUAUCAGUUCUGGGUCCCUGGCAAUGACUGUUGGGUACAAACUGAGAAGCUGUGCUCUGAAGGUAGGGCUGGGCUUUUCACUGACCAUGUAGGUGGAUUAGUUGUGUGGGCAAAGUGUGUCAUCAUAGCCACUAUGUUUUCUGCACUUGGAGUAGACAGCACCUUGAUAGCUCAGUUGGUAGAGCAGAGGACUGUAGGCAGUUCCUCCUAUGAAGUGCUCUCGUUCCAGGGUCGCUGGUUCAACUCCCGCUCAAAGCAAGCCUUGUGUUCAUCUGUCAGCUCCUCCAAAAUUUAAAAACACAAACAAGAUAACUCCUACUUUAUUUUCCAACCAUCAAUUUUUUAUUCACCCAGCCUAAAAGUCCUGAUUAUCAGUUCUGGGUCCCUGGCAAUGACUGUUGGGUACAAACUGAGAAGCUGCGCUCUGAAGGUAGGGCUGGGCUUUUCACUGACCAUGUAGGUGGAUUAGUUGUGUGGGCAAAGUGUGUCAUCAUAGCCACUAUGUUUUCUGCACUUGGAGUAGACAGCACCUUGAUAGCUCAGUUGGUAGAGCAGAGGACUGUAGGCAGUUCCUCCUAUGAAGUGCUGUGGUUCCAAGGUCGCUGGUUCAACUCCCACUCAAAGCAAGCCUUGUCUUCAUCUGUCAGCUCCUCCAAAAUUUAAAAACACAAACAAGAUAACUCCUACUUUAUUUUCCAACCGUCAAUUUUUUAUUCACCCAGCCUAAAAGUCCUGAUUAUCAGUUCUGGGUCCCUGGCAAUGACUGUUGGGUACAAACUGAGAAGCUGUGCUCUGAAGGUAGGGCUGGGCUUUUCACUGACCAUGUAGGUGGAUUAGUUGUGUGGGCAAAGUGUGUCAUCAUAGCCACUAUGUUUUCUGCACUUGGAGUAGACAGCACCUUGAUAGCUCAGUUGGUAGAGCAGAGGACUGUAGGCAGUUCCUCCUAUGAAGUGCUGUCGUUCCAAGGUCGCUGGUUCAACUCCCGCUCAAAGCAAGCCUUGACUUCAUCUGUCAGCUCCUCCAAAAUUUAAAAACACAAACAAGAUAACUCCUACUUUAUUUUCCAACCAUCAAUUUUUUAUUCACCCAGCCUAAAAGUCCUGAUUAUCAGUUCUGGGUCCCUGGCAAUGACUGUUGGGUACAAACUGAGAAGCUGCGCUCUGAAGGUAGGGCUGGGCUUUUCACUGACCAUGUAGGUGGAUUAGUUGUGUGGGCAAAGUGUGUCAUCAUAGCCACUAUGUUUUCUGCACUUGGAGUAGACAGCAUCUUGAUAGCUCAGUUGGUAGAGCAGAGGACUGUAGGCAGUUCCUCCUAUGAAGUGCUGACGUUCCAGGGUCGCUGGUUCAACUCCCACUCAAAGCAAGCCUUGUCUUCAUCUGUCAGCUCCUCCAAAAUUUAAAAACACAAACAAGAUAACUCCUACUUUAUUUUCCAACCGUCAAUUUUUUAUUCACCCAGCCUAAAAGUCCUGAUUAUCAGUUCUGGGUCCCUGGCAAUGACUGUUGGGUACAAACUGAGAAGCUGUGCUCUGAAGGUAGGGCUGGGCUUUUCACUGACCAUGUAGGUGGAUUAGUUGUGUGGGCAAAGUGUGUCAUCAUAGCCACUAUGUUUUCUGCACUUGGAGUAGACAGCACCUUGAUAGCUCAGUUGGUAGAGUAGAGGACUGUAGGCAGUUCCUCCUAUGAAGUGCUGUCGUUCCAAGGUCGCUGGUUCAACUCCCGCUCAAAGCAAGCCUUGACUUCAUCUGUCAGCUCCUCCAAAAUUUAAAAACACAAACAAGAUAACUCCUACUUUAUUUUCCAACCAUCAAUUUUUUAUUCACCCAGCCUAAAAGUCCUUAUUAUCAGUUCUGGGUCCCUGGCAAUGACUGUUGGGUACAAACUGAGAAGCUGCGCUCUGAAGGUAGGGCUGGGCUUUUCACUGACCAUGUAGGUGGAUUAGUUGUGUGGGCAAAGUGUGUCAUCAUAGCCACUAUGUUUUCUGCACUUGGAGUAGACAGCACCUUGAUAGCUCAGUUGGUACAGCAGAGGACUGUAGGCAGUUCCUCCAAUGAAGUGCUGACGUUCCAGGGUCGCUGGUUCAACUCCCGCUCAAAGCAAGCCUUGUCUUCAUCUGUCAGCUCCUCCAAAAUUUAAAAACACAAACAAGAUAACUCCUACUUUAUUUUCCAACCAUCAAUUUUUUAUUCACCCAGCCUAAAAGUCCUGAUUAUCAGUUCUGGGUCCCUGGCAAUGACUGUUGGGUACAAACUGAGAAGCUGUGCUCUGAAGGUAGGGCUGGGCUUUUCACUGACCAUGUUGGUGGAUUAGUUGUGUGGGCAAAGUGUGUCAUCAUAGCCACUAUGUUUUCUGCACUUGGAGUAGACAGCACCUUGAUAGCUCAGUUGGUAGAGCAGAGGACUGUAGGCAGUUCCUCCUAUGAAGUGCUGUGGUUCCAAGGUCGCUGGUUCAACUCCCGCUCAAAGCAAGCCUUGUCUUCAUCUGUCAGCUCCUCCAAAAUUUAAAAACACAAACAAGAUAACUCCUACUUUAUUUUCCAACCGUCAAUUUUUUAUUCACCCAGCCUAAAAGUCCUGAUUAUCAGUUCUGGGUCCCUGGCAAUGACUGUUGGGUACAAACUGAGAAGCUGUGCUCUGAAGGUAGGGCUGGGCUUUUCACUGACCAUGUAGGUGGAUUAGUUGUGUGGGCAAAGUGUGUCAUCAUAGCCACUAUGUUUUCUGCACUUGGAGUAGACAGCACCUUGAUAGCUCAGUUGGUAGAGCAGAGGACUGUAGGCAGUUCCUCCUAUGAAGUGCUGUCGUUCCAAGGUCGCUGGUUCAACUCCCGCUCAAAGCAAGCCUUGUCUUCAUCUGUCAGCUCCUCCAAAAUUUAAAAACACAAACAAGAUAACUCCUACUUUAUUUUCCAACCGUCAAUUUUUUAUUCACCCAGCCUAAAAGUCCUGAUUAUCAGUUCUGGGUCCCUGGCAAUGACUGUUGGGUACAAACUGAGAAGCUGUGCUCUGAAGGUAGGGCUGGGCUUUUCACUGACCAUGUAGGUGGAUUAGUUGUGUGGGCAAAGUGUGUCAUCAUAGCCACUAUGUUUUCUGCACUUGGAGUAGACAGCACCUUGAUAGCUCAGUUGGUAGAGCAGAGGACUGUAGGCAGUUCCUCCUAUGAAGUGCUGUCGUUCCAGGGUCGCUGGUUCAACUCCCGCUCAAAGCAAGCCUUGUGUUCAUCUGUCAGCUCCUCCAAAAUUUAAAAACACAAACAAGAUAACUCCUACUUUAUUUUCCAACCAUCAAUUUUUUAUUCACCCAGCCUAAAAGUCCUGAUUAUCAGUUCUGGGUCCCUGGCAAUGACUGUUGGGUACAAACUGAGAAGCUGCGCUCUGAAGGUAGGGCUGGGCUUUUCACUGACCAUGUAGGUGGAUUAGUUGUGUGGGCAAAGUGUGUCAUCAUAGCCACUAUGUUUUCUGCACGUGGAGUAGACAGCAUCUUGAUAGCUCAGUUGGUAGAGCAGAGGACUGUAGGCAGUUCCUCCUAUGAAGUGCUUGGUUCCAAGGUCGCUGGUUCAACUCCCACUCAAAGCAAGCCUUGUCUUCAUCUGUCAGCUCCUCCAAAAUUUAAAAACACAAACAAGAUAACUCCUACUUUAUUUUCCAACCGUCAAUUUUUUAUUCACCCAGCCUAAAAGUCCUGAUUAUCAGUUCUGGGUCCCUGGCAAUGACUGUUGGGUACAAACUGAGAAGCUGCGCUCUGAAGGUAGGGCUGGGCUUUUCACUGACCAUGUAGGUGGAUUAGUUGUGUGGGCAAAGUGUGUCAUCAUAGCCACUAUGUUUUCUGCACUUGGAGUAGACAGCACCUUGAUAGCUCAGUUGGUAGAGCAGAGGACUGUAGGCAGUUCCUCCAAUGAAGUGCUGUCGUUCCAGGGUCGCUGGUUCAACUCCCGCUCAAAGCAAGCCUUGUCUUCAUCUGUCAGCUCCUCCAAAAUUUAAAAACACAAACAAGAUAACUCCUACUUUAUUUUCCAACCAUCAAUUUUUUAUUCACCCAGCCUAAAAGUCCUGAUUAUCAGUUCUGGGUCCCUGGCAAUGACUGUUAGGUACAAACUGAGAAGCUGUGCUCUGAAGGUAGGGCUGGGCUUUUCACUGACCAUGUUGGUGGAUUAGUUGUGUGGGCAAAGUGUGUCAUCAUAGCCACUAUGUUUUCUGCACUUGGAGUAGACAGCACCUUGAUAGCUCAGUUGUUAGAGCAGAGGACUGUAGGCAGUUCCUCCUAUGAAGUGCUGUGGUUCCAAGGUCGCUGGUUCAACUCCCGCUCAAAGCAAGCCUUGUCUUCAUCUGUCAGCUCCUCCAAAAUUUAAAAACACAAACAAGAUAACUCCUACUUUAUUUUCCAACCGUCAAUUUUUUGUUCACCCAGCCUAAAAGUCCUGAUUAUCAGUUCUGGGUCCCUGGCAAUGACUGUUGGGUACAAACUGAGAAGCUGUGCUCUGAAGGUAGGGCUGGGCUUUUCACUGACCAUGUAGGUGGAUUAGUUGUGUGGGCAAAGUGUGUCAUCAUAGCCACUAUGUUUUCUGCACUUGGAGUAGACAGCACCUUUAUAGCUCAGUUGGUAGAGCAGAGGACUGUAGGCAGUUCCUCCUAUGAAGUGCUGUCGUUCCAAGGUUGCUGGUUCAACUCCCGCUCAAAGCAAGCCUUGUCUUCAUCUGUCAGCUCCUCAAAAAUUUAAAAACACAAACAAGAUAACUCCUACUUUAUUUUCCAACCGUCAAUUUUUUAUUCACCCAGCCUAAAAGUCCUGAUUAUCAGUUCUGGGUCCCUGGCAAUGACUGUUGGGUACAAACUGAGAAGCUGUGCUCUGAAGGUAGGGCUGGGCUUUUCACUGACCAUGUAGGUGGAUUAGUUGUGUGGGCAAAGUGUGUCAUCAUAGCCACUAUGUUUUCUGCACUUGGAGUAGACAGCACCUUGAUAGCUCAGUUGGUAGAGCAGAGGACUGUAGGCAGUUCCUCCUAUGAAGUGCUGUGGUUCCAGGGUCGCUGGUUCAACUCCCGCUCAAAGCAAGCCUUGUGUUCAUCUGUCAGCUCCUCCAAAAUUUAAAAACACAAACAAGAUAACUCCUACUUUAUUUUCCAACCAUCAAUUUUUUAUUCACCCAGCCUAAAAGUCCUGAUUAUCAGUUCUGGGUCCCUGGCAAUGACUGUUGGGUACAAACUGAGAAGCUGCGCUCUGAAGGUAGGGCUGGGCUUUUCACUGACCAUGUAGGUGGAUUAGUUGUGUGGGCAAAGUGUGUCAUCAUAGCCACUAUGUUUUCUGCACUUGGAGUAGACAGCACCUUGAUAGCUCAGUUGGUAGAGCAGAGGACUGUAGGCAGUUCCUCCUAUGAAGUGCUGUGGUUCCAAGGUCGCUGGUUCAACUCCCGCUCAAAGCAAGCCUUGUCUUCAUCUGUCAGCUCCUCCAAAAUUUAAAAACACAAACAAGAUAACUCCUACUUUAUUUUCCAACCAUCAAUUUUUUAUUCACCCAGCCUAAAAGUCCUGAUUAUCAGUUCUGGGUCCCUGGCAAUGACUGUUGGGUACAAACUGAGAAGCUGUGCUCUGAAGGUAGGGCUGGGCUUUUCACUGACCAUGUAGGUGGAUUAGUUGUGUGGGCAAAGUGUGUCAUCAUAGCCACUAUGUUUUCUGCACUUGGAGUAGACAGCACCUUGAUAGCUCAGUUGGUAGAACAGAGGACUGUAGGCAGUUCCUCCUAUGAAGUGCUGUGGUUCCAAGGUUGCUGGUUCAACUCCCGCUCAAAGCAAGCCUUGUCUUCAUCUGUCAGCUCCUCCAAAAUUUGAAAACACAAACAAGAUAACUCCUACUUUAUUUUCCAACCGUCAAUUUUUUAUUCACCCAGCCUAAAAGUCCUGAUUAUCAGUUCUGGGUCCCUGGCAAUGACUGUUGGGUACAAACUGAGAAGCUGUGCUCUGAAGGUAGGGCUGGGCUUUUCACUGACCAUGUAGGUGGAUUAGUUGUGUGGGCAAAGUGUGUCAUCAUAGCCACUAUGUUUUCUGCACUUGGAGUAGACAGCACCUUGAUAGCUCAGUUGGUAGAGCAGAGGACUGUAGGCAGUUCCUCCUAUGAAGUGCUGUGGUUCCAAGGUCGCUGGUUCAACUCCCGCUCAAAGCAAGCCUUGUCUUCAUCUGUCAGCUCCUCCAAAAUUUAAAAACACAAACAAGAUAACUCCUACUUUAUUUUCCAACCAUCAAUUUUUUAUUCACCCAGCCUAAAAGUCCUGAUUAUCAGUUCUGGGUCCCUGGCAAUGACUGUUGGGUACAAACUGAGAAGCUGCGCUCUGAAGGUAGGGCUGGGCUUUUCACUGACCAUGUAGGUGGAUUAGUUGUGUGGGCAAAGUGUGUCAUCAUAGCCACUAUGUUUUCUGCACUUGGAGUAGACAGCACCUUGAUAGCUCAGUUGGUAGAGCAGAGGACUGUAGGCAGUUCCUCCUAUGAAGUGCUGUCGUUCCAGGGUCGCUGGUUCAACUCCCGCUCAAAGCAAGCCUUGUGUUCAUCUGUCAGCUCCUCCAAAAUUUAAAAACACAAACAAGAUAACUCCUACUUUAUUUUCCAACCAUCAAUUUUUUAUUCACCCAGCCUAAAAGUCCUGAUUAUCAGUUCUGGGUCCCUGGCAAUGACUGUUGGGUACAAACUGAGAAGCUGCGCUCUGAAGGUAGGGCUGGGCUUUUCACUGACCAUGUAGGUGGAUUAGUUGUGUGGGCAAAGUGUGUCAUCAUAGCCACUAUGUUUUCUGCACUUGGAGUAGACAGCACCUUGAUAGCUCAGUUGGUAGAGCAGAGGACUGUAGGCAGUUCCUCCUAUGAAGUGCUGUGGUUCCAGGGUUGCUGGUUCAACUCCCGCUCAAAGCAAGCCUUGUGUUCAUCUGUCAGCUCCUCCAAAAUUUAAAAACACAAACAAGAUAACUCCUACUUUAUUUUCCAACCAUCAAUUUUUUAUUCACCCAGCCUAAAAGUCCUGAUUAUCAGUUCUGGGUCCCUGGCAAUGACUGUUGGGUACAAACUGAGAAGCUGUGCUCUGAAGGUAGGGCUGGGCUUUUCACUGACCAUGUAGGUGGAUUAGUUGUGUGGGCAAAGUGUGUCAUCAUAGCCACUAUGUUUUCUGCACUUGGAGUAGACAGCACCUUGAUAGCUCAGUUGGUAGAGCAGAGGACUGUAGGCAGUUCCUCCUAUGAAGUGCUGUGGUUCCAAGGUCGUUGGUUCAACUCCCGCUCAAAACAAGCCUUGUCUUCAUCUGUCAGCUCCUCCAAAAUUUAAAAACACAAACAAGAUAACUCCUACUUUAUUUUCCAACCGUCAAUUUUUUAUUCACCCAGUCUAAAAGUCCUGAUUAUCAGUUCUGGGUCCCUGGCAAUGACUGUUGGGUACAAACUGAGAAGCUGCGCUCUGAAGGUAGGGCUGGGCUUUUCACUGACCAUGUAGGUGGAUUAGUUGUGUGGGCAAAGUGUGUCAUCAUAGCCACUAUGUUUUCUGCACUUGGAGUAGACAGCACCUUGAUAGCUCAGUUGGUAGAGCAGAGGACUGUAGGCAGUUCUUCCUAUGAAGUGCUGUCGUUCCAGGGUCGCUGGUUCAACUCCCGCUCAAAGCAAGCCUUGUGUUCAUCUGUCAGCUCCUCCAAAAUUUAAAAACACAAACAAGAUAACUCCUACUUUAUUUUCCAACCAUCAAUUUUUUAUUCACCCAGCCUAAAAGUCCUGAUUAUCAGUUCUGGGUCCCUGGCAAUGACUGUUGGGUACAAACUGAGAAGCUGUGCUCUGAAGGUAGGGCUGGGCUUUUCACUGACCAUGUAGGUGGAUUAGUUGUGUGGGCAAAGUGUGUCAUCAUAGCCACUAUGUUUUCUGCACUUGGAGUAGACAGCACCUUGAUAGCUCAGUUGGUAGAGCAGAGGACUGUAGGCAGUUCCUCCUAUGAAGUGCUGUGGUUCCAAGGUCGCUGGUUCAACUCCCGCUCAAAGCAAGCCUUCUGUUCAUCUGUCAGCUCCUCCAAAAUUUAAAAACACAAACAAGAUAACUCCUACUUUAUUUUCCAACCAUCAAUUUUUUAUUCACCCAGCCUAAAAGUCCUGAUUAUCAGUUCUGGGUCCCUGGCAAUGACUGUUGGGUACAAACUGAGAAGCUGCGCUCUGAAGGUAGGGCUGGGCUUUUCACUGACCAUGUAGGUGGAUUAGUUGUGUGGGCAAAGUGUGUCAUCAUAGCCACUAUGUUUUCUGCACUUGGAGUAGACAGCACCUUGAUAGCUCAGUUGGUAGAGCAGAGGACUGUAGGCAGUUCUUCCUAUGAAGUGCUGUCGUUCCAGGGUCGCUGGUUCAACUCCCGCUCAAAGCAAGCCUUGUGUUCAUCUGUCAGCUCCUCCAAAAUUUAAAAACACAAACAAGAUAACUCCUACUUUAUUUUCCAUACAUCAAUUUUUUAUUCACCCAGCCUAAAAGUCCUGAUUAUCAGUUCUGGGUCCCUGGCAAUGACUGUUGGGUACAAACUGAGAAGCUGUGCUCUGAAGGUAGGGCUGGGCUUUUCACUGACCAUGUAGGUGGAUUAGUUGUGUGGGCAAAGUGUGUCAUCAUAGCCACUAUGUUUUCUGCACUUGGAGUAGACAGCACCUUGAUAGCUCAGUUGGUAGAGCAGAGGACUGUAGGCAGUUCCUCCUAUGAAGUAAUGUGGUUCCAAGGUCGCUGGUUCAACUCCCGCUCAAAGCAAGCCUUGUGUUCAUCUGUCAGCUCCUCCAAAAUUUAAAAACACAAACAAGAUAACUCCUACUUUAUUUUCAAACCGUCAAUUUUUAAUUCACCCAGCCUAAAAGUCCUGAUUAUCAGUUCUGGGUCCCUGGCAAUGACUGUUGGGUACAAACUGAGAAGCUGUGCUCUGAAGGUAGGGCUGGGCUUUUCACUGACCAUGUAGGUGGAUUAGUUGUGUGGGCAAAGUGUGUCAUCAUAGCCACUAUGUUUUCUGCACUUGGAGUAGACAGCACCUUGAUAGCUCAGUUGGUAGAGCAGAGGACUGUAGGCAGUUCUUCCUAUGAAGUGCUGUCGUUCCAGGGUCGCUGGUUCAACUCCCGCUCAAAGCAAGCCUUGUGUUCAUCUGUCAGCUCCUCCAAAAUUUAAAAACACAAACAAGAUAACUCCUACUUUAUUUUCCAACCAUCAAUUUUUUAUUCACCCAGCCUAAAAGUCCUGAUUAUCAGUUCUGGGUCCCUGGCAAUGACUGUUGGGUACAAACUGAGAAGCUGCGCUCUGAAGGUAGGGCUGGGCUUUUCACUGACCAUGUAGGUGGAUUAGUUGUGUGGGCAAAGUGUGUCAUCAUAGCCACUAUGUUUUCUGCACUUGGAGUAGACAGCACCUUGAUAGCUCAGUUGGUAGAGCAGAGGACUGUAGGCAGUUCUUCCUAUGAAGUGCUGUCGUUCCAGGGUCGCUGGUUCAACUCCCGCUCAAAGCAA
This 9720-nucleotide long non-coding RNA is filed under the name Xyrichtys novacula (pearly razorfish). The stretch from base 1159 to 1256 matches the Rfam family "tRNA". The record is from RNAcentral. Lineage: Eukaryota; Metazoa; Chordata; Actinopteri; Labriformes; Labridae.